CCAUCCGAAGUCUUUUAGAGAUUGAAGCUCAUUAUAAAAAUACAAUAAAGAGAGCCAGAAAAGUUAAAGACUGGCGCCAUGUUUUGACAGAAAGCACUCAAUGUAUUGAAGCUGGAGCUGAUGCAUCAAACAAGCUGUUUGCUUUAAAAGCUGAGGCUCUAUUAAAGCUUCAAAGGACAGAGGAAGCUUUUGAACUAGUAACUACUGCAAGGGGUUCGGAAGACAACAGACACAGAAAAGCUUGCAAGGGAACAACAUACUUGCUGAUAAUUGAAACUCAAAUCAAUUUGUAUCUUGGCAGAUUUGAGCAAGGGGUGCUCACUGCAGAGAAAGCUGUCGAUUUGGACACAACCCGAAAGUCUCUGAAGUGGCUGAGGAAAGCUAGGGGAGCUUCUGAUGCUCAAAAAGCCGGAAAUGCUCUAUUUUAAGAUGGGAAGUACUUGGAGGCAUGCACAAAGUAUGGCCAUGGUCUGCAAUAUGUGCCAACAAAUAGUGUCUUGCUUUGCAAUCGAGCUGCUUGCAAGUCUAAGCUUGAAAAAUGGGAAAAGGCCAUUGAUGAUUGCAAUGCAGCUCUGAGAGAACGGCCUAAUUAUCACAAAGCACUUUUAAGGCACGCUCACUCUUAUGCCAGACUUGGGCGUUGGGAAAAGUCUCUCAGGGACUAUGAUGUAUUGAGCAAGGAGAUGCCAGUAGAUGAAUUUGUAGCCAAUUCUCUUCUUCAAGUACAAAUGGAACUCAAGGCUCAAAGUGGUCAACUGUUCUCAUGACACAUAACUUUUGAGGUUUAGUUUUCAUUUCCAUUUGGCCAUCUAACGGUUCUAGUCCAUUGCCAUCUAGUGAGCUCAAGGCAACAAUAGGGGAUGCUUAACCCCAACCUAGGAAAUGGGUGUUACCACACAAUGCGCUAACCAUCUCAGGCGACACCUACCAACAAAGGCAAUAGACCAUGACAAAUACAACCAUCAAAUGCCAGUUUUGAAUAACAAAAUACCAGAUUUAAGUUUCAUUGGAGAAGGUUAUCCUAUCAAGUUAGAAGAAUCAAGAGGCAGUAUGGUAUAGCUAGAAGACAAAUGAAAGUGGGGUAGAGUUCAAACUUUGUAUCAUAAGCAAAAUGCAAAGAGGUUGUUGUUUCCUACGAAAAGGGCAAGGGGCAUGAAAGCACUUCUCAAAAUGGCCAAGACAGGAAACAAAGGAAGCAGCAACCAUCAAGAGCCGUCAUGGAAAAUUAUAGGUAUUGGUUUGUACCAGCCCAUUGGCAUGGGGUGUAAAUCUUCCAGCUCAUCUAGUCAUUAUUAAG
Prunus avium (sweet cherry) is the source of this 1297-nucleotide non-coding RNA. NCBI's taxonomy places the organism in Eukaryota, Viridiplantae, Streptophyta, Magnoliopsida, Rosales, Rosaceae. The record is from RefSeq and is a predicted model, not a curated record.